Molecule: ribosomal RNA, 261 nt
Filed under: uncultured bacterium
Lineage: Bacteria
Description: partial 16S ribosomal RNA
Rfam family: Bacterial small subunit ribosomal RNA
Source: RNAcentral
UUGGCGGACGGGUGAGUAACACGUGAGUAACCUACCUUUCAAAGGGGGAUAACGUCUGGAAACGGACGCUAAUACCGCAUAAUACUAUUUGAGGGCAUCCUUGGAUAGUCAAAGGAGGAAUCCGAUGGGAGAUGGACUCGCGGCUGAUUAGAUAGUUGGCGGGGUAGAGGCCCACCAAGUCGACGAUCAGUAGCCGGACUGAGAGGUUGAACGGCCACAUUGGGACUGAGACACGGCCCAGACUCCUACGGAAGGCAGCAG